GCAAACUUGGUCAUUUAGAGGAAGUAAAAGUCGUAACAAGGUUUCCGUAGGUAAGUUAUAAAAAAAAAAUCAGUGUCUUUUAUGCUUGGAAUAAUGGUGCUAACUUUUCUUUUUUAGGUGAACCUGCGGAAGGAUCAUUACCGAGAGUAACUCUUUUAUAGAGUAACCUCCCGUCCUUUGCGGGCCCCUUAGGGGCAUUUUGACUUUGCUUCGGCGGAGGUACCCCGCCGGAACACCCUCAAAAAAAUCUCGAAAAAAACUGUUCAGUCCGAGAACUUUUUGUGUGAAUAAUCAAAACUUUCAACAACGGAUCUCUUGGUUCUGGCAUCGAUGAAGAACGCAGC
Molecule: unclassified non-coding RNA, 344 nt
Filed under: uncultured fungus
Lineage: Eukaryota; Fungi
Description: partial contains small subunit ribosomal RNA, internal transcribed spacer 1, and 5.8S ribosomal RNA
Rfam family: Eukaryotic small subunit ribosomal RNA (bases 1-140)
Source: RNAcentral